AAGGACUUAAGUUAAAUAAACUAGUAACCUUCAAAGUUACAAAUAAAAGAACACUUUUAGGCCUUA
This 66-nucleotide transfer RNA is filed under the name Ergatettix dorsifera. Its description in RNAcentral is "tRNA-Trp". Lineage: Eukaryota; Metazoa; Arthropoda; Insecta; Orthoptera; Tetrigidae. The record is from RNAcentral.